CCUACGGGUGGCUGCAGUGAGGAAUUUUCGGCAAUGGGGGAAACCCUGACCGAGCAAUACUACGUGAAGGAGGAAGGUCUAAGGAUUGUAAACUUCUGUUAGCGCGGAAGCGGUACGCGCAGAGAAAGCAACGACUAACUAUGUGCCAGCAGUCGCGGUAAGACAUAGGUUGCGAACGUUAUCCGGAAUUAUUGGGCGUAAAGGAUGCGUAGAUGGUGUGAUAAGUUAUCAGUGGGAAAUCGGGGCUCAACCUCGUGGAAGUUGAUAAUACUGUUAUGCUUGAGUGCAGGAGAGGUUGACGGAACUCUAUGUGGAGCGGUAAAAUGUGACGAUAUAUAGAAGAACACCAAAGGCGAAAGCAGUUAACUAUUCUGUACUGACAUUGAGGCAUGAAAGCGUGGGGAGCAAAACGGAUUAGAUACCCUUGUAGUC
RNAcentral lists this ribosomal RNA (432 nucleotides) under uncultured bacterium. RNAcentral describes it as "partial 16S ribosomal RNA". It matches the Rfam family "Bacterial small subunit ribosomal RNA", at positions 338 to 795 of the family's 1533-position model. The record is from RNAcentral.